CCUACGGGUGGCAGCAGUGAGGAAUAUUGGUCAAUGGCCGGAAGGCUGAACCAGCCAUGCCGCGUGAAGGUCAGUGCCCUAUGGGCGUUAAACUUCUUUUGUGCGGGAGCAAUAAUGGUCACGUGUGGCCAGACGAGAGUACCGUACGAAUAAGCAUCGGCUAACUCCGUGCCAGCAGCCGCGGUAAUACGGGGGAUGCAAGCGUUAUCCGGAUUUAUUGGGUUUAAAGGGUGCGUAGGCUGGGAGGUAAGUCAGCGGUGAAAUGCCCCGGCUCAACGGGGUGAAGUGCCAUUGAUACUGCCUGGCUGGAGUGCGGAUGCGGUGGGAGGAAUGUGUGGUGUAGCGGUGAAAUGCUUAGAUAUUGCGCAGAACUCCGAUUGCGAAGGCAGCAUACCGGCGGCGAUCUGACGCUGAGGCACGAAAGCGUGGGUAUCGAACAGGAUUAGAUACCCGAGUAGUC
This 460-nucleotide ribosomal RNA is filed under the name uncultured bacterium. Its description in RNAcentral is "partial 16S ribosomal RNA". It matches the Rfam family "Bacterial small subunit ribosomal RNA", at positions 338 to 795 of the family's 1533-position model. The record is from RNAcentral.